AUUGAAACACCGGUUUCAAUACAAUCACCGAAGUUAAGCAAGUUCAAGCCCGAUCAGUAACUAGAUGGGUGUCCCCUUGGAAAUACCAGGUGUCGUA
Acanthosepion pharaonis is the source of this 97-nucleotide non-coding RNA. NCBI's taxonomy places the organism in Eukaryota, Metazoa, Mollusca, Cephalopoda, Sepiida, Sepiidae. The record is from the annotation of a GenBank genome assembly.